RNAcentral lists this long non-coding RNA (323 nucleotides) under Bos taurus (domestic cattle). Its description in RNAcentral is "long non-coding RNA NONBTAT013991". Lineage: Eukaryota; Metazoa; Chordata; Mammalia; Artiodactyla; Bovidae. The record is from RNAcentral.
CACUGUUCAGUUACACCAAAAGUGGAACUUAAGGAGCUUGCUUUCUCUGUUUUCAUAAGCACCCUGUCAGACACUUAACUUUCCUCUUCAUAGAAGCCUUAGACCUACAAUUUAGCUAUGGAACACUCACCACCUGGGCUACAAAUGAUGCCUCUAAGGCCCCAGAGCACUGGGAUCCCAGAGAAUGUGUGUGGGGAAGGAGGGGUAUUUUUGUGUUCACCUCUAGGAAAUCACAGCAGCAGACUGAGAAUCCAGAAACUAUCCCAGUGAGGAACUAAAAGCAGCCACUGGAGGGAUGGGCUUUUAAAUGUACUGGGAACCAA